CACGGGGGGAGCAAGCGUUGUUCGGAAUCACUGGGCGUAAAGAGCGUGUAGGCGGCCAGAUAGGUCUGCUGUGAAAACUCGAGGCUCAACCUCGAGCUGUCGGCGGAAACCAUCCGGCUAGAGUCCGGAAGAGGAGAGUGGAAUUCCCGGUGUAGCGGUGAAAUGCGCAGAUAUCGGGAAGAACACCUGUGGCGAAGGCGGCUCUCUGGGACGGUACUGACGCUGAGGAGCGAAAGCGUGGGGAGCGAACAGG
RNAcentral lists this ribosomal RNA (253 nucleotides) under uncultured bacterium. RNAcentral's name for it is "partial 16S ribosomal RNA". It matches the Rfam family "Bacterial small subunit ribosomal RNA", at positions 524 to 776 of the family's 1533-position model. The record is from RNAcentral.